Molecule: ribosomal RNA, 450 nt
Filed under: uncultured Glomeromycotina
Lineage: Eukaryota; Fungi; Glomeromycota
Description: SSU rRNA
Rfam family: Eukaryotic small subunit ribosomal RNA
Source: RNAcentral
AGCAGCCGCGGUAAUUCCAGCUCCAAUAGCGUAUAUUAAAGUUGUUGCAGUUAAAAGCUCGUAGUUGAAUUUCGGGGUUCUACGGUCGGUCGGGCUAACGUCUGUACCGGCGUGUAGAAUUCCUACCUUCUGGGGAACCAUCAUGUUAUUAAUUUAGCGUGGUGGGAAACCAGGACCUUUACCUUGAAAAAUUAGAGUGUUCAAAGCAGGCUUAUGUCUGAAUACAUUAGCAUGGAAUAAUAAAAUAGGACGGUGGUCCUGUUUUGUUGGUUUCUGAAUCACCGUAAUGAUUAAUAGGGAUAGUUGGGGCAUUAGUAUUCAAUUGUCAGAGGUGAAAUUUUGGAUUUAUCGAAGACUAACUUCUGCGAAAGCAUUUGCCAAGGAUGUUUUCAUUAAUCAAGAACGAAAGUUAGGGGAUCGAAGACGAUCAGAUACCGUCGUAGUCUUAAC